UAAGUAACAGAUCUAGAAAGGAAGACAUGAUGAUGUUGGGGCAGGAGCUGGAGAUGAAACGGUGGUGGUAGUUGUUUAAAACUGUUUAAGGAAAAUGUGCCUACGUAGGUUCUCUCCUCCCACCUCAACAGAAAAUGGCAGAUUAUAUUUUAGAGAAAUUAAACUAGUGAGCCCCAAACCUGGGGCCACUGGGAGUAGAGGUGGAGACACAAAUGACACAGUAAAGUAUCAGACUGGUGUAGAAGUAAUUGUGGGUUUUGCUAUUGAAAAUGACCAAAACCACAAUUACUUUUGCACCAACCUAAAUAGAAUACUGAAAACAGAAUAAUCUAGUGCAUGCCUGUAUAACGGUGGGACCUCAGCCCCAUUCCCAAUCUAGCUUCAGAAUAUCAGCAGCCAAGCUCAUACACUCCAGGCAGGACGACAGUGAAGGACCCUAAUUUGAAGAAUCUAAACCAUCUCAAAGAAAAGACCAAUAGAUACUAACAUUUAGAAGUUUGUAGGAAUAUGCUGGCUGUCUCCCCAAAUGCCCUACCUGCAGUGAAGCCCAAAAGAACCUUAACUUGCUUUUUGAUAUAUCACUGUUCAAUAUAAAGAACCAAGGUUCAGCAGACAUUUGAAAACGGAAGGUAAUGCUUCUGUGAAAUAACAGGGCACUAUUAAAAAGUAACAAUCAGAAAAAAAGAAAGUGUUCAGAAGUUAAAAAUAUGACAGCUGAAAUAAAAAUAAUUUCAUACAAGUGUUAAAGUCAAAGAAAAUCUCUCAAAGUAAAACCAAAAGAUAAGGAAAAGAGGAGAAAAUCAGAAGAUCAAUCCAUGAGUACUAAUAAUAUCUGAUAAUUACAGAAGGAGAGAAAAGAGAAAAUGGUGUGGCAGUAAUAAAGAGAAUUUAAAAAUUUACCAACUUGAAAACAAUCACUGAGUAUCCACUGCAAAUAAUGAAAAAAGACCCCAACAAGGCACAUCACAGUAAAAUAUCCAACUCCAGAAGAAAAGAUCUAGACCAGGGAGGAAAAUAACAUAUAAAAAAGCACCGCCUCAUCCAUAGAGUGUAUGUUCCAAAACUGUGGAUAGCACCAAACCCCAUUUAUACUGUUUUUCCCCUACACACUUAUCUAUGAUAAAGUUUAAUUUAUAAAUGGAGCACAGUGAGAGAUUAACAAUAACUAAUAAUAGAAUAAUUAAUUCUCUUGUGCUUUGGGGCCAUUAAGUCAAAUAAGGGUUGUUUGAACACUGUUAUACUGCAAGUCUAUCUGCUACCCUAGAUGGCUAUUAAGUGAUUAACAAGCAGGUAGUGUAUACAGUGUAGACAUGCCGGACAAUGGAAUGAUUCACAACCCAAAUAGGAAGGAGAGGGCCGGUGUGAAAUUUAAUCACACCACUAAAAACAGUGUAUAAUUUAAAACGUAUAAAUUAUUGGAUGGGUGUGGUGGCUCAUGUCUGUAAUCCCAGAACUUUGGGAGGCUGAGGUGGGAGGAUCGCUUGAGCUCAGGAGUUUGAGGCUAUGAGCAAUGAGCUACAAUUACACCACUGCACUCCAGCCCAGAAGACUGAGCAAGACCCUGUCUCUAAAAAACAAUCAUAAAAAAUAAACUGGUUUUUCAGAUUUUAAUAAGCAUAUUAAUGAGGCUUGCAUUCAUGAAACCUGAAUAUUUAGAAGGAUCUACUUUGAUUAGUUAAAAUAAGGCUGAUGGAAGUGUGUCAGUCAAUACGGGAAUAC
This 1719-nucleotide long non-coding RNA is filed under the name Homo sapiens (human). Its description in RNAcentral is "HSALNT0345440". The record is from RNAcentral. Lineage: Eukaryota; Metazoa; Chordata; Mammalia; Primates; Hominidae.